UUAAGCGACUAAGCGUACACGGUGGAUGCCCUGGCAGUCAGAGGCGAUGAAGGACGUGCUAAUCUGCGAUAAGCGUCGGUAAGGUGAUAUGAACCGUUAUAACCGGCGAUUUCCGAAUGGGGAAACCCAGUGUGUUUCGACACACUAUCAUUAACUGAAUCCAUAGGUUAAUGAGGCGAACCGGGGGAACUGAAACAUCUAAGUACCCCGAGGAAAAGAAAUCAACCGAGAUUCCCCCAGUAGCGGCGAGCGAACGGGGAGCAGCCCAGAGCCUGAAUCAGUGUGUGUGUUAGUGGAAGCGUCUGGAAAGGCGCGCGAUACAGGGUGACAGCCCCGUACACAAAAAUGCACAUGCUGUGAGCUCGAUGAGUAGGGCGGGACACGUGGUAUCCUGUCUGAAUAUGGGGGGACCAUCCUCCAAGGCUAAAUACUCCUGACUGACCGAUAGUGAACCAGUACCGUGAGGGAAAGGCGAAAAGAACCCCGGCGAGGGGAGUGAAAAAGAACCUGAAACCGUGUACGUACAAGCAGUGGGAGCACGCUUAGGCGUGUGACUGCGUACCUUUUGUAUAAUGGGUCAGCGACUUAUAUUCUGUAGCAAGGUUAACCGAAUAGGGGAGCCGAAGGGAAACCGAGUCUUAACUGGGCGUUAAGUUGCAGGGUAUAGACCCGAAACCCGGUGAUCUAGCCAUGGGCAGGUUGAAGGUUGGGUAACACUAACUGGAGGACCGAACCGACUAAUGUUGAAAAAUUAGCGGAUGACUUGUGGCUGGGGGUGAAAGGCCAAUCAAACCGGGAGAUAGCUGGUUCUCCCCGAAAGCUAUUUAGGUAGCGCCUCGUGAAUUCAUCUCCGGGGGUAGAGCACUGUUUCGGCAAGGGGGUCAUCCCGACUUACCAACCCGAUGCAAACUGCGAAUACCGGAGAAUGUUAUCACGGGAGACACACGGCGGGUGCUAACGUCCGUCGUGAAGAGGGAAACAACCCAGACCGCCAGCUAAGGUCCCAAAGUCAUGGUUAAGUGGGAAACGAUGUGGGAAGGCCCAGACAGCCAGGAUGUUGGCUUAGAAGCAGCCAUCAUUUAAAGAAAGCGUAAUAGCUCACUGGUCGAGUCGGCCUGCGCGGAAGAUGUAACGGGGCUAAACCAUGCACCGAAGCUGCGGCAGCGACACUAUGUGUUGUUGGGUAGGGGAGCGUUCUGUAAGCCUGUGAAGGUGUACUGUGAGGUAUGCUGGAGGUAUCAGAAGUGCGAAUGCUGACAUAAGUAACGAUAAAGCGGGUGAAAAGCCCGCUCGCCGGAAGACCAAGGGUUCCUGUCCAACGUUAAUCGGGGCAGGGUGAGUCGACCCCUAAGGCGAGGCCGAAAGGCGUAGUCGAUGGGAAACAGGUUAAUAUUCCUGUACUUGGUGUUACUGCGAAGGGGGGACGGAGAAGGCUAUGUUGGCCGGGCGACGGUUGUCCCGGUUUAAGCGUGUAGGCUGGUUUUCCAGGCAAAUCCGGAAAAUCAAGGCUGAGGCGUGAUGACGAGGCACUACGGUGCUGAAGCAACAAAUGCCCUGCUUCCAGGAAAAGCCUCUAAGCAUCAGGUAACAUCAAAUCGUACCCCAAACCGACACAGGUGGUCAGGUAGAGAAUACCAAGGCGCUUGAGAGAACUCGGGUGAAGGAACUAGGCAAAAUGGUGCCGUAACUUCGGGAGAAGGCACGCUGAUAUGUAGGUGAAGUCCCUCGCGGAUGGAGCUGAAAUCAGUCGAAGAUACCAGCUGGCUGCAACUGUUUAUUAAAAACACAGCACUGUGCAAACACGAAAGUGGACGUAUACGGUGUGACGCCUGCCCGGUGCCGGAAGGUUAAUUGAUGGGGUUAGCGCAAGCGAAGCUCUUGAUCGAAGCCCCGGUAAACGGCGGCCGUAACUAUAACGGUCCUAAGGUAGCGAAAUUCCUUGUCGGGUAAGUUCCGACCUGCACGAAUGGCGUAAUGAUGGCCAGGCUGUCUCCACCCGAGACUCAGUGAAAUUGAACUCGCUGUGAAGAUGCAGUGUACCCGCGGCAAGACGGAAAGACCCCGUGAACCUUUACUAUAGCUUGACACUGAACAUUGAGCCUUGAUGUGUAGGAUAGGUGGGAGGCUUUGAAGUGUGGACGCCAGUCUGCAUGGAGCCGACCUUGAAAUACCACCCUUUAAUGUUUGAUGUUCUAACGUUGACCCGUGAUCCGGGUUGCGGACAGUGUCUGGUGGGUAGUUUGACUGGGGCGGUCUCCUCCUAAAGAGUAACGGAGGAGCACGAAGGUUGGCUAAUCCUGGUCGGACAUCAGGAGGUUAGUGCAAUGGCAUAAGCCAGCUUGACUGCGAGCGUGACGGCGCGAGCAGGUGCGAAAGCAGGUCAUAGUGAUCCGGUGGUUCUGAAUGGAAGGGCCAUCGCUCAACGGAUAAAAGGUACUCCGGGGAUAACAGGCUGAUACCGCCCAAGAGUUCAUAUCGACGGCGGUGUUUGGCACCUCGAUGUCGGCUCAUCACAUCCUGGGGCUGAAGUAGGUCCCAAGGGUAUGGCUGUUCGCCAUUUAAAGUGGUACGCGAGCUGGGUUUAGAACGUCGUGAGACAGUUCGGUCCCUAUCUGCCGUGGGCGCUGGAGAACUGAGGGGGGCUGCUCCUAGUACGAGAGGACCGGAGUGGACGCAUCACUGGUGUUCGGGUUGUCAUGCCAAUGGCACUGCCCGGUAGCUAAAUGCGGAAGAGAUAAGUGCUGAAAGCAUCUAAGCACGAAACUUGCCCCGAGAUGAGUUCUCCCUGACUCCUUGAGAGUCCUGAAGGAACGUUGAAGACGACGACGUUGAUAGGCCGGGUGUGUAAGCGCAGCGAUGCGUUGAGCUAACCGGUACUAAUGAACCGUGAGGCUUAACCUU
RNAcentral lists this ribosomal RNA (2901 nucleotides) under Escherichia coli. Its description in RNAcentral is "bacterial LSU rRNA". It matches the Rfam family "Bacterial large subunit ribosomal RNA". Lineage: Bacteria; Pseudomonadati; Pseudomonadota; Gammaproteobacteria; Enterobacterales; Enterobacteriaceae. RNAcentral also lists the same sequence under 2 other names. The record is from RNAcentral.